CGGGUGAGUAACGCGUGGAUAACCUGCCUCACACAGGGGAGUAACAGUUAGAAAUGACUGCUAAUACCGCAUAAGCGCACAGUACCGCAUGGUACAGUGUGAAAAACUCCGGUGGUGUGAGAUGGAUCCGCGUCUGAUUAGGUAGUUGGUGGGGUAACGGCCCACCAAGCCGACGAUCAGUAGCCGACCUGAGAGGGUGACCGGCCACAUUGGGACUGAGACACGGCCCAA
Molecule: ribosomal RNA, 231 nt
Filed under: uncultured bacterium
Lineage: Bacteria
Description: partial 16S ribosomal RNA
Rfam family: Bacterial small subunit ribosomal RNA
Source: RNAcentral